CUCCCUCCCUGUCCCCUCCUCCCCCUUCUUCCCUCUCCCUCCCCUCUCCCUCUCCCUCUCCUCUUCUUCCCACUACUCUUGGCCCCAGAGCUAAAAGGAUCUCUUGUUCAAAGUGUCUCUCUCCAGCCCCUUCCCCCUCCUCCUCCAAGAGUAACCUCAAGGCACGAAGGACAGAACUCCGUGUUCCUAUAAACCCAGACAUUUCGUUCUUAGCCCACCUGCUUCUUCCCUGCAACACCCAAGGGCCUUCACAUUCACUCCUCGGUUUUCCUUAUUAAGUGGCAAAGCCACGCCUACAAACCAACCCUCUUUCUCCUUUUUUAUGCACCUUCCGAAACAGUGAAGGGGGCUUCUGACGUGACAGCAACAGCAGGGAAGACGGGCUCGUAAUGUGAACAUGGGCCCGAACACGGGGGGGAAGACGGGUCCCUCCUGGGAGCCUGGUCCUCCUGGGUACCGGGGAAGGCCUCACACCCAGCGCCCGUCCAAUCCUCAGCCUGGCUCCUGACCAAGUCUCCAACCAACAAGGCGUGAUGAGAAGCCAUAAUCGCAAGAGACGCAGGCUUAAGUGUUACCUGCCGUUCGGGGAGCACGGGACCCAGAGACGGCCGGGUUCACGGCACCACGCGGGAGAGGCUGACACAGCCAUGCGCUAAGGGCACGUGCAACCCACGAACGAAACUCCGGGGACCACGCGCGGCCACAGGGAGGACUGGCGAGCCGGCCGGAGAGGAGGCCCUGCCCCUGGAUGGACUGACUCGUUCUCUGGACGGCCCGGUGCGUGUCCUCAGCGCCCACUUCCGAGGAGCAAGCCGAGUGUGGCUCCUGAAUGUCUGAGCGCCACUGCACGCAGCCUCCUGUCUCUGGAGUCCUCGCCUGUGAGCAGGACACCCCACAGGCACCCACAGAGCAGAGACCAAUGAGGUGCCCAGGGGGGCCGGGGGAGCCAGCUGAGCUUGAAUCUGGUGUCUACCCGUUUAAAGGCCUUCAAAAUGUGACCAGACGUGCCACAGUCCCCCAGGUCCCUGGUCAGCAGGGUGGCAGGAUUCACCCAGGGGGAAGGCCGCUCGGCCAAGGAGGCCUCGUCACCUCCUUCUAGAGUGCUCUCCUCCUGUGUCUUCCCUUCCCGUCGUCCCCCGGGAGCCCCAAUCCCCGGGCUUGCAGGUCAGAACCCCACGUCACGGACGGGCACACGCCGGCCCUCCCUCAGCGGGAGCCCUCCAUCCACCCAUCCCUUCUGCUUUUUCCUUUCUUGAUCGCAGACCGCUUCAGUCACAGGGCGCUGGCGACUGCAGCCACCCCGGCUUCCGGGCUCCCUGGGCCCGGACACCGUUCCACGCUCCCACGCGGACUAACUCAGCGGAUUCCCACACGACCCUGCGUGGGACGUACUUUUAAUACACCCACUUUACGGGUGAGAACGUUGAGGGAUGGAGAGCUAAAAUAACCUUCCCGGGGUCCCGGGGCCAGCGGGCUGAGAAGUCAGCACUUAAACCACCUGGCCUGGUCCCGAGUGUAUCUGUGAUGCUAACUCCCUCUCCGACACGGACGGAAGGAAAAGAAAUGAAUACUCACGUGCCCACCACCCGGGUGAGGAAACACAGUGCCUGCUGUACCCCGUGCCCUCCUGGGGUCCCCACGCUCUCUGUGGGCCGCAGCCUGUCUCCCUCAUGUCACACAGACUGGUCAGGUGGUGGCCCUGGAGACCCUGGUGCCCGCACACCACUGAUCCUUCUACUCCCCCCUCCCCCCCACACCCCCCCAGAUCUGGACACCACGUCGGGCCCUCGGCCGGGCUCUGGCCCCCUUCCUUCCUGGGCAGUGGGCCUCCCAUUACACAUUCUGUCCCCCGCCCCUGCUUCCUCCCAAGGGGAUGGUGCCCACCCCUCUCGGCUCCUGGUUUCUAGAACCCUGCCCUGUAUCACUCCCGCUUCCAGUGACCCCCUCCCCUGUGUAAAUUCCCCUCCCCUCAAGGGCCAUACUUUAUCCACUUUCUUCCUCCCCGAGACUUAGCCAAAGCACUUUGCUUAUAACAGAUAAUUAAUAACAAAUUUGUUGAAUGAUGAA
Molecule: long non-coding RNA, 2067 nt
Organism: Felis catus (domestic cat)
Lineage: Eukaryota; Metazoa; Chordata; Mammalia; Carnivora; Felidae
Exons: 2
Source: RefSeq, a predicted model, not a curated record